GACGAACGCUGGCGGCGUGCUUAACACAUGCAAGUCGAACGGUGAAGCGCCUUCCUUUUUGGUGGGUGUGGAUGAGUGGCGAACGGGUGAGUAACACGUGAGUAACCUGCCCCCUUCUUCUGGAUAACCGCAUGAAAGUGUGGCUAAUACGGGAUAUUCUGGGUCUGUCGCAUGAUGGGUCUGGGAAAGAUAUUGUUUCGGUGGGGGAUGGGCUCGCGGCCUAUCAGCUUGUUGGUGGGGUGAUGGCCUACCAAGGCGGUGACGGGUAGCCGGCCUGAGAGGGUGGACGGUCACACGGGGAAUGAGACACGGCCCAGACUCCUACGGGAGGCAGCAGUGAGGAAUAUUGCACAAUGGGCGCAAGCCUGAUGCAGCGACGCCGCGGGAGGGAUGGAGGCCUUCGGGUUGUGAACCUCUUUCGCCAGUGAAGCAGGCCUGCCUCGUUUGUGGGUGGGUUGACGGUAGCUGGAUAAGAAGCGCCGGCUAACUACGUG
RNAcentral lists this ribosomal RNA (494 nucleotides) under uncultured bacterium. RNAcentral describes it as "partial 16S ribosomal RNA". It matches the Rfam family "Bacterial small subunit ribosomal RNA", at positions 28 to 507 of the family's 1533-position model. The record is from RNAcentral.